CCAAGCGGCAGAGUCAGUUCCGCUUUGUGUUCGAGCUAGACACAUAAAAAUCGAGGUCGGGUGUAGUACACCCAGUCCGUACUGAACGUGACAAAAUCCGAAUUUUGGAAAAAUAAAAAGUUUUGUUUUUGACUAUUUAUUGCUGGAAAAUAUUAAGAAUACUUGUUGAAAAAAUAGCAACGCGUCGAAUAACUCGAAGCGUUGCUGCUCUGGAGGAGUUAUAUAGAGAAAACGAGGAAGAAAGAAAAAAAGCUAUGUGUAAAGAACACGUAGCGAAAAUAUACUGCGAAUACGGUAAUACUGUGUAAUGCAACUUUUGUAAACUUUAUAUAAUAAACAUUCGUCUUAAAAAAUUA
Molecule: long non-coding RNA, 356 nt
Organism: Cephus cinctus (wheat stem sawfly)
Lineage: Eukaryota; Metazoa; Arthropoda; Insecta; Hymenoptera; Cephidae
Exons: 2
Source: RefSeq, a predicted model, not a curated record